AAGAGUUUGAUCCUGGCUCAGGAUUAACGCUGGCGGCGUGCCUAAUACAUGCAAGUCGAACGGAAGUUUAAGCAAUUAAACUUUAGUGGCGAACGGGUGAGUAACGCGUAAGCAAUCUGCCCCUAAGACGAGGAUAACAGUUGGAAACGACUGCUAAGACUGGAUAGGAGACAAGAAGGCAUCUUCUUGUUUUUAAAAGACCUAGCAAUAGGUAUGCUUAGGGAGAGAGCUUGCGUCACAUUAGUUAGUUGGUGGGGUAAAGGCCUACCAAGACUAUGAUGUGUAGCCGGGCUGAGAGGUUGAACGGCCACAUUGGGACUGAGACACGGCCCAAACUCCUACGGGAGGCAGCAGUAGGGAAUUUUCGGCAAUGGAGGAAACUCUGACCGAGCAACGCCGCGUGAACGAUGAAGUAUUUCGGUACGUAAAGUUCUUUUAUUAGGGAAGAAUAAAUGAUGGAAAAAUCAUUCUGACGGUACCUAAUGAAUAAGCCCCGGCUAACUAUGUGCCAGCAGCCGCGGUAAUACAUAGGGGGCAAGCGUUAUCCGGAAUUAUUGGGCGUAAAGGGUGCGUAGGCGGUUAAAUAAGUUUNUGGUCUAAGUGCAAUGCUCAACAUUGUGAUGCUAUAAAAACUGUUUAGCUAGAGUAAGAUAGAGGCAAGUGGAAUUCCAUGUGUAGUGGUAAAAUGCGUAAAUAUAUGGAGGAACACCAGUAGCGAAGGCGGCUUGCUGGGUCUUUACUGACGCUGAGGCACGAAAGCGUGGGGAGCAAACAGGAUUAGAUACCCUGGUAGUCCACGCCGUAAACGAUGAGUACUAAACGUUGGGUAAAACCAGUGUUGAAGUUAACACAUUAAGUACUCCGCCUGAGUAGUACGUACGCAAGUAUGAAACUUAAAGGAAUUGACGGGACUCCGCACAAGCGGUGGAUCAUGUUGUUUAAUUCGAAGGUACCCGAAAAACCUCACCAGGUCUUGACAUGCUUCUGCAAAGCUGUAGAAACACAGUGGAGGUUAUCAGUUGCACAGGUGGUGCAUGGUUGUCGUCAGCUCGUGUCGUGAGAUGUUGGGUUAAGUCCCGCAACGAGCGCAACCCUUAUUGUUAGUUACCAGCACGUAAUGGUGGGGACUUUAGCAAGACUGCCAGUGAUAAAUUGGAGGAAGGUGGGGACGACGUCAAAUCAUCAUGCCCCUUAUGACCUGGGCUACAAACGUGAUACAAUGGCUGUUACAAAGGGUAGCUGAAGCGCAA
Molecule: ribosomal RNA, 1250 nt
Filed under: 'Mangifera indica' phytoplasma
Lineage: Bacteria; Bacillati; Mycoplasmatota; Mollicutes; Acholeplasmatales; Acholeplasmataceae
Description: bacterial SSU rRNA
Rfam family: Bacterial small subunit ribosomal RNA
Source: RNAcentral